UGGGGAAUUUUGGACAAUGGGCGCAAGCCUGAUCCAGCAAUGCCGCGUGCAGGAUGAAGGCCUUCGGGUUGUAAACUGCUUUUGUACGGAACGAAAAGCCUCUCUCUAAUACAGGGGGGUGAUGACGGUACCGUAAGAAUAAGCACCGGCUAACUACGUGCCAGCAGCCGCGGUAAUACGUAGGGUGCAAGCGUUAAUCGGAAUUACUGGGCGUAAAGCGUGCGCAGGCGGUUUUGUAAGACAGUGGUGAAAUCCCCGGGCUCAACCUGGGAGCUGCCAUUGUGACUGCAAGGCUGGAGUGCGGCAGAGGGGGAUGGAAUUCCGCGUGUAGCAGUGAAAUGCGUAGAUAUGCGGAGGAACACCGAUGGCGAAGGCAAUCCCCUGGGCCUGCACUGACGCUCAUGCACGAAAGCGUGGGGAGCAAACAGGAUUAGAUACCCUGGUAGUCCACGCCCUAAACGAUGUCAACUGGUUGUUGGGGAUUUAUUUCUUCAGUAACGAAGCUAACGCGUGAAGUUGACCGCCUGGGGGAGUACGGCCGCAAGGUU
Molecule: ribosomal RNA, 548 nt
Filed under: uncultured bacterium
Lineage: Bacteria
Description: partial 16S ribosomal RNA
Rfam family: Bacterial small subunit ribosomal RNA
Source: RNAcentral